CCGACCUCAGAUCAGGCGAGACCACCCGCUGAGUUUAAGCAUAUCACUAAGCGGAGGAAAAGAAACUAACAAGGAUUCCCUUAGUAGCGGCGAGCGAACCGGGAAGAGCCCAGCUUGAAAAUCGCGCCGCUCCGGCGGCGCGAGUUGUAGUCUGGAGAAGCGUCCUCUGCAGCGGACCCGGCCUAAGUCCCCUGGAAAGGGGCGUCGGAGAGGGUGAGAACCCCGUCGGGCCGGGACCCUGCUGCUCCACGAGGCGCUGUCGAUGAGUCGGGCUGUUUGGGAAUGCAGCCCUAAGCGGGAGGUAAAUUCCUUCCAAGGCUAAAUACGGGCGGGAGACCGAUAGCGAACAAGUACCGCGAGGGAAAGAUGAAAAGGACUUUGAAAAGAGAGUCA
RNAcentral lists this ribosomal RNA (393 nucleotides) under Riccia macrospora. RNAcentral's name for it is "eukaryotic LSU rRNA". It matches the Rfam family "Eukaryotic large subunit ribosomal RNA", at positions 1 to 390 of the family's 3401-position model. Lineage: Eukaryota; Viridiplantae; Streptophyta; Marchantiopsida; Marchantiales; Ricciaceae. The record is from RNAcentral. RNAcentral also lists the same sequence under 1 other name.